CUUAGAAACCACAUACAGACAUUUACUCAUUCAAAGAUUACAACAAGAGCAAAGGAGCAAAAGCUAAGGAUGGAAUUCUUGUGCCAAGGUAAGAGCUCAUGGCCUGAGCUAGUCGGGACUUGUGGAGAAUUAGCAGCAAAAACCAUCGAGGAGGAGAACCCCUUCGUCUCUGCCCUCAUUGCUAGACCACACCAACCUGUCUCUACUAUUUUCAGUUGCGCCCGAGUAGUUGUUUGGGUUGAUGAGAAAGGCAUUGUUGGAAUUAUGCCUGUCAUCGGUUAAACUAAGUCAAUGGAGACGAUUCUUCGUAACUUCACUUGCCUUGUAGUUGGCCUGUAAUAUGAUUAAAAUAAAUAAGUCGUUCGAGGGUGGUCUUGCUGUCUAAUUUGAUUUACUGUUUAAUGUGUUUAUCAAUAAAAUGUGAGCUUUGUGUUUGCUUAAAUUUGGGACAUCAGAAGUGGGACGAAAAAUUUGUUCUAUAGUAAAGGUGUAAAUGUUUCGUCACUUUUGUGUCACGUAUUGAAGCUUCAUAAGAUGUCAUGCAAAUAAAUUAAUUAAUGUGAA
Non-coding RNA from Sesamum indicum (sesame), 564 nucleotides. NCBI's taxonomy places the organism in Eukaryota, Viridiplantae, Streptophyta, Magnoliopsida, Lamiales, Pedaliaceae. The record is from RefSeq and is a predicted model, not a curated record.